UGAGUGGUGUUUGGUUUGUUACGGGUGGUUGGCUCUUUGCUUGCGCAACAACUUCCACCUGGCAUACCUCUUCAGUCUAGCCUCCAUGCUUGUAUCGCAUUGGAUGCACUGUGGGUUUCCUGUGUUGCAUACCUAACUCAAGGUAUCGUUUGGUUAAUAGAUGUCGUUUAUUCGUCUUGUGUCGCACAUGCGAUGUGAGAUGAACCUUGAAGCAGCAUUUGUGAUCCACUCUUUCGAUGCGCAUGCAUUGAUGGUGUGGCCCAUUGAGUGAUGCUUGGUCUCAUGGAUAUGGAACCUUGUGUGGGCAUGGGAUCUUGAUUCCUUGUUUGCCUUGGUUAAGCUUUUCUAAAACGAUUGUCUAUCACGUCUUGACGUGGUAGACUA
RNAcentral lists this unclassified non-coding RNA (384 nucleotides) under Lasiopogon glomerulatus. Its description in RNAcentral is "partial external transcribed spacer". Lineage: Eukaryota; Viridiplantae; Streptophyta; Magnoliopsida; Asterales; Asteraceae. The record is from RNAcentral.